Molecule: transfer RNA, 87 nt
Filed under: Hyphomicrobiales bacterium
Lineage: Bacteria; Pseudomonadati; Pseudomonadota; Alphaproteobacteria; Hyphomicrobiales
Also listed under: 1 other name
Description: Rhizobiales bacterium tRNA-Leu
Rfam family: tRNA
About the family: Transfer RNA (tRNA) molecules are approximately 80 nucleotides in length. Their secondary structure includes four short double-helical elements and three loops (D, anti-codon, and T loops). Further hydrogen bonds mediate the characteristic L-shaped molecular structure. tRNAs have two regions of fundamental functional importance: the anti-codon, which is responsible for specific mRNA codon recognition, and the 3' end, to which the tRNAs corresponding amino acid is attached (by aminoacyl-tRNA synthetases). tRNAs cope with the degeneracy of the genetic code in two manners: having more than one tRNA (with a specific anti-codon) for a particular amino acid; and 'wobble' base-pairing, i.e. permitting non-standard base-pairing at the 3rd anti-codon position.
Source: RNAcentral
GCGGUCGUGGCGGAACUGGUAGACGCGCAGCGUUGAGGUCGCUGUGGGGUAACACCCGUGGAAGUUCGAGUCUUCUCGACCGCACCA